This 466-nucleotide ribosomal RNA is filed under the name uncultured bacterium. Its description in RNAcentral is "partial 16S ribosomal RNA". It matches the Rfam family "Bacterial small subunit ribosomal RNA", at positions 28 to 523 of the family's 1533-position model. The record is from RNAcentral.
GAUGAACGCUGGCGGCGUGCCUAACACAUGCAAGUCGAGCGAACCCUUCGGGGUGAGCGGCGGACGGGUGAGUAACGCGUGGGUAACCUGCCCUAUACACACGGAUAACGUACCGAAAGGUACGCUAGUACGGGAUAAAGUUGUUGGAUGGCAUCUUCUAACAAUCAAAGCUCCGGCGGUAUAGGAUGGACCCGCGUCUGAUUAGCUAGUUGGUGAGGUAAUGGCUCACCAAGGCGACGAUCAGUAGCCGACCUGAGAGGGUGAUCGGCCACACUGGAACUGAGACACGGUCCAGACCCCUACGGGAGGCAGCAGUGGGGAAUAUUGCACAAUGGGCGAAAGCCUGAUGCAGCAACGCCGCGUGAGCGAUGAAGGUCUUCGGAUCGUAAAGCUCUGUCCUCAAGGAAGAUAAUGACGGUACUUGAGGAGGAAGCCCCGGCUAACUACGUGCCAGCAGCCGCCGUAA